GGUUCGGAAUACAAUGAYGGAUGAUGCUUAUUUGUACUGCCCCUYGUCUUAUACAAGCGUUUGAAAGGGGYACCCAGCUGGAUACUUUGGUAUUUUGAUUGCUUCGUUGUGUUGCCUAUCAUUUUUAUCGUUGAGUGCUCCAAAAAUUUUACGGGUGUUGUGCAUGCCAAAGAGUCUUGGGAAGCCUUUCCUUCGUGCUUAUUAUUUAUAGCUCGGUUUUGCCACCACCUGUCUUAAUAAACGCCCGCACGUGUCAUGGAGUGUCUUCUUCUUUGAGGAGGAAUACAAAAUGUCACUGUGUAGGUGUUUAAAAGGA
Molecule: unclassified non-coding RNA, 316 nt
Filed under: Allium canadense var. canadense
Lineage: Eukaryota; Viridiplantae; Streptophyta; Magnoliopsida; Asparagales; Amaryllidaceae
Description: partial external transcribed spacer
Source: RNAcentral